This 72-nucleotide transfer RNA is filed under the name Thermoplasmata archaeon. RNAcentral's name for it is "tRNA-Met". It matches the Rfam family "tRNA". Rfam says of the family: Transfer RNA (tRNA) molecules are approximately 80 nucleotides in length. The record is from RNAcentral. RNAcentral also lists the same sequence under 1 other name. Lineage: Archaea; Methanobacteriati; Thermoplasmatota; Thermoplasmata.
UGCGGGUUGGGGAACUGGCAUCCCACUUGGUUCAUACCCAAGAGACAGGCGGUUCGAUUCCGUCACCCGCUA